RNAcentral lists this ribosomal RNA (557 nucleotides) under uncultured archaeon. Its description in RNAcentral is "bacterial SSU rRNA". It matches the Rfam family "Archaeal small subunit ribosomal RNA", at positions 202 to 761 of the family's 1478-position model. The record is from RNAcentral.
CCAAAGGAUGGGGCCGCGACCGAUCAGGCUGUUGGCGAGGUAACGGCUCACCAAACCUAUAACCGGUACGGGCCGCGGGAGCGGGAGCCCGGAGAUGGGCACUGAGACAAGGGCCCAGGCCCUACGGGGCGCAGCAGUCGCGCAAACUCUGCAAUACGCGAAAGCGUGACAGGGCUAUCCCGAGUGCCGUCCGCUGAGGAUGGCUUUUCUCUGGUGUAAUGAGCCGGAGGAAUAAGGAGAGGGCAAGUCUGGUGUCAGCCGCCGCGGUAAUACCAGCUCUCCGAGUGGUAGGGACGAUUAUUGGGCCUGAAGCGUCCGUAGCCAGCUAAGCAAGUUUCCCGUUAAAUCCAGCGAUCUAAUCGUUGGACUGCGGGAAAUACUGCUUGGCUAGGGGGCGAGAGAGGCCAACGGUAUUUCCGGGGUAGGGGUGAAAUCUUAUAAUCCCGGGAGGACCACCAGUGGCGAAGGCUGUUGGAUAGAACGCGCUCGACGGUGAGGGACGAAAGCUGGGGGAGCGAACCGGAUUAGAUACCCGGGUAGUCCCAGCUGUAAACGAU